RNAcentral lists this ribosomal RNA (914 nucleotides) under uncultured marine archaeon. RNAcentral's name for it is "bacterial SSU rRNA". It matches the Rfam family "Archaeal small subunit ribosomal RNA", at positions 1 to 922 of the family's 1478-position model. The record is from RNAcentral.
UUCCGGUUGAUCCUGCCGGACCUGACUGCUAUCGGAUUGAUACUAAGCCAUGCGAGUCUUUGCAGUAAUGCAAGGCAUACGGCUCAGUAACACGUAGUCAACUUACCCUAUGGACGAGGAUAAUCUCGGGAAACUGAGCAUAAUACUCGAUAGAUCAUAAUGCCUGGAAUGGUUUAUGGUUAAAAUGAUUCGUCGCCAUAGGAUGGGACUGCGGCCUAUCAGCUUGUUGGUGAGGUAAUGGCCCACCAAGGCGAUUACAGGUACGGGCUCUGAGAGGAGAAGCCCGGAGAUGGGUACUGAGACAAGGACCCAGGCCCUAUGGGGCGCAGCAGGCGAGAAAACUUUGCAAUGUGCGAAAGCACGACAAGGUUAAUCCGAGUGAUUUCUGCUAAAGAAAUCUUUUGCAAGUCAUAAAACCACUAGUGAAUAAGGGGUGGGCAAGUUCUGGUGUCAGCCGCCGCGGUAAAACCAGCACCUCAAGUGGUCAGGAGGAUUAUUGGGCCUAAAGCAUCCGUAGCCGGCUCUGUAAGUUUUCGGUUAAAUCUAUGCGCUCAACGUAUGGGCUGCCGAAAAUACUGCAGAGAUAGGGAGUGGGAGAGGUAGACGGUACUCGGUAGGAAGGGGUAAAAUCCUUUGAUCUAUCGAUGACCACCUGUGGCGAAGGCGGUCUACCAGAACACGUUCGACGGUGAGGGAUGAAAGCUGGGGGAGCAAACCGGAUUAGAUACCCGGGUAGUCCCAGCUGUAAACGAUGCAGACUCGAUGAUGCAUUGGCAUAUAGCCAGUGCAGUGUCGCAGGGAAGCCGUUAAGUCUGCCGCCUGGGAAGUACGUACGCAAGUAUGAAACUUAAAGGAAUUGGCGGGGGAGCACCACAAGGGGUGAAGCCUGCGGUUCAAUUGGAUUCAACGCCGGG